RNAcentral lists this long non-coding RNA (228 nucleotides) under Elaeis guineensis (African oil palm). Its description in RNAcentral is "long non-coding RNA (EGUI_LNC013155)". The record is from RNAcentral. Lineage: Eukaryota; Viridiplantae; Streptophyta; Magnoliopsida; Arecales; Arecaceae.
UCUGUGUGAAGUUUGUUUCUUAGUGAUAGCCAAAGGAAAACCCGAGUUUUUUUGGGGAUAGCUGCUUUCCAAAUUAUCUUGUGAUAUAGGGACCUUGGACUUCCAUUAUUCACGAAUAUAUAAUAAAAGUGAACUAAAAAAAAAAAGCUAUUGAGGGUUAACUUCCAUAUUGGCACACCGGCAGGUUAUGAGGGUCUUAUUAAUGCAAGAGUUAUAUCAAGUGUGUGG